This 433-nucleotide ribosomal RNA is filed under the name uncultured bacterium. RNAcentral's name for it is "partial 16S ribosomal RNA". It matches the Rfam family "Bacterial small subunit ribosomal RNA", at positions 29 to 507 of the family's 1533-position model. The record is from RNAcentral.
AACGAACGCUGGCGGCAUGCCUAACACAUGCAAGUCGAACGAGACCUUCGGGCUUGGUGCCGCACGGGUGGGUAACCGGGGGGAACCUGCCCUUGGGUUCGGCAUAACUCCCGGGAUGAGGUCCUAAAACCGGCUCAUAUACCCCGACCAACCAUUUGUCGCCAUUGGAUGGGCGCGCGUUGGAUUAGCUAGUUGUGAGGGUAAAAGCCUAUCACGGGGUGGAUCCGUAGCUGGUCUGAGAGGCUGCUCAGCGACACUGGGAGUGAGACACGGCCCAGACUACUACGGGAGGCAGCAAUGGGGGAUAUUGGACAACGGGGGAAAGGAUGAUGCAGCAAUGACGGGUGAGUGAUGAAGGCCGGAGGGUUGUAAAGUUCUUUUACCCGGGAUGAUAAUGACAGUACCGGGAGAAUAAGCACCGGCUAACUCCGUG